Molecule: ribosomal RNA, 301 nt
Filed under: uncultured bacterium
Lineage: Bacteria
Description: partial 16S ribosomal RNA
Rfam family: Bacterial small subunit ribosomal RNA
Source: RNAcentral
CAGCAGCCGCGGGAAUACGUAGGGUGCGAGCGUUAAUCGGAAUUACUGGGCGUAAAGCGUGCGCAGGCGGUUUUGUAAGACAGAGGUGAAAUCCCCGGGCUCAACCUGGGAACUGCCUUUGUGACUGCAAGGCUAGAGUACGGCAGAGGGGGAUGGAAUUCCGCGUGUAGCAGUGAAAUGCGUAGAUAUGCGGAGGAACACCGAUGGCGAAGGCAAUCCCCUGGGCCUGUACUGACGCUCAUGCACGAAAGCGUGGGGAGCAAACAGGAUUAGAUACCCCUGUAGUCCCUGUCUCUUAUAC